GAAGGUGACCGGGUCGAUGAAUUAUAAUUAAAGAACCAAGACCCUGUUACAGACUGGGUUAUAAAACAGUUGUAAACCGGAUAGCCUUAUAAAGGUCAUUUCGAAUUGAAAAGUGCAGAAAUAUUUUUCAUAAAAACUUCCAGUUCCAUUUUAUCGGGUUAUUAUUCCGUUUUACAGAUCACUGCUUACGCGGUUGCUUAGAAUUUGCGCAUUUACAAACUUUUUGCUAACCUUGAUGGAAUAAUUACGAUUGUCUAGCGCCUUAGUACAUUAUAAUUGUAUUAAUUAACGUGUGGUUACCUUUUCUUUGCGAAAAUCGGGUCACACAGUUUUAUGUAAUGAGUAGAAAAAAAUUACUUAGUUACUUAUCAAAGAAACAAAAGGAAAACUAUUAGUUAAAUAAAUAAGUUGUUACUAUCAAAUAGAAGAGAUGUUUAGACUGACAACGAAAAAUGAAUGAUCGGCAAAGGAGGAAAGGAUCUGAUUAUUGGUGAAGGUUCUGUAAUAGGAAAAGAAAAAAUCUUAUCAUUGCUAAUAUAUUUGUUAAACUGUCUGAAAGGAGACGUAUCCAAUGCUGGAUACACAGAUAUCAAGAUAAGACUGAGUGUAUAGUAGACCUACCGACCUUAUAGAAAUGCUUUAGAAGAGUAUUGGUCAUCAGACGGCAUGUGAUAUGAGAUAUUUCCUGCUACAAUGGGAAAACAUAGGUACAUCUUAAAAAAGAAAGAAAAAAAGUUGACAAACUAGCAGCAGUUCGUACUAUUGUUGACAAGUCCAAUGAAAAUUGUAAGAUAACUUAUUCAGUAAGCGAGUAUAUGACUUUAUGAAAUGCUGCUUGCCUUUAGGGAAAUCUAUGCUGGAGUUCAACCUGAUGCCUCAUACAAAUCUGACAAUUCUACCGCUACAAUAACAGAAAAAAUGUCAUAUUUAUCAGGUUCAGGAAGAAAUGUUAUGGACCAUCGGAACAGAAAAAAUCCGAAAUAUUUACUUUUUACAACGGCACAAAAAGUGGAGUUGAUGUUAUUGAUCGAAUGAUCAAGUCACAUAAUGUUGCUAGAAAUACAAAGCGUUGGCUAAUGAUAGUUUUUUCUUUUAUCAAUCAAUAUAGCAGCAAUUAAUGCUUAUGUUAUUUACAAAGACAGUAGACCUGAUGGCGAAUUUGUUAAAACUAGUAGAUUAUUCCAAAAGAAUCUCGGUAUGGAAUUAGUGCAGGAUAACAUGCGAAGAAGAACCGUCGAUAAGCACAUAACCUUAACAUCGCCACAUAAAAGUUCUAAUGGGCGUUUUUACUGGGCACUGCUGA
This 1303-nucleotide long non-coding RNA is filed under the name Onthophagus taurus. Its description in RNAcentral is "uncharacterized LOC111429283". Lineage: Eukaryota; Metazoa; Arthropoda; Insecta; Coleoptera; Scarabaeidae. The record is from RNAcentral.